RNAcentral lists this ribosomal RNA (292 nucleotides) under uncultured bacterium. RNAcentral's name for it is "partial 16S ribosomal RNA". It matches the Rfam family "Bacterial small subunit ribosomal RNA", at positions 505 to 796 of the family's 1533-position model. The record is from RNAcentral.
GUGUCAGCAGCCGCGGUAAUACGGAGGGUGCAAGCGUUAAUCGGAAUUACUGGGCGUAAAGCGUGCGUAGGCGGCUUAUUAAGUCAGAUGUGAAAGCCCCGGGCUUAACCUGGGAACUGCAUUUGAUACUGGUAAGCUAGAGUUGAGUAGAGGAAAGGGGAAUUUCAGGUGUAGCGGUGAAAUGCGUAGAGAUCUGAAGGAACACCAGUGGCGAAGGCGCCUUUCUGGACUCAAACUGACGCUGAGGUACGAAAGCGUGGGUAGCAAACAGGAUUAGAAACCCCCGUAGUCC